AUGCAAGUCGAGCGGUAGAGAGAAGCUUGCUUCUCUUGAGAGCGGCGGACGGGUGAGUAAUGCCUAGGAAUCUGCCUGGUAGUGGGGGAUAACGUUCGGAAACGGACGCUAAUACCGCAUACGUCCUACGGGAGAAAGCAGGGGACCUUCGGGCCUUGCGCUAUCAGAUGAGCCUAGGUCGGAUUAGCUAGUUGGUGGGGUAAUGGCUCACCAAGGCGACGAUCCGUAACUGGUCUGAGAGGAUGAUCAGUCACACUGGAACUGAGACACGGUCCAGACUCCUACGGGAGGCAGCAGUGGGGAAUAUUGGACAAUGGGCGAAAGCCUGAUCCAGCCAUGCCGCGUGUGUGAAGAAGGUCUUCGGAUUGUAAAGCACUUUAAGUUGGGAGGAAGGGCAGUAAAUUAAUACUUUGCUGUUUUGACGUUACCGACAGAAUAAGCACCGGCUAACUCUGUGCCAGCAGCCGCGGUAAUACAGAGGGUGCAAGCGUUAAUCGGAAUUACUGGGCGUAAAGCGCGCGUAGGUGGUUAGUUAAGUUGGAUGUGAAAUCCCCGGGCUCAACCUGGGAACUGCAUUCAAAACUGACUGACUAGAGUAUG
This 600-nucleotide ribosomal RNA is filed under the name uncultured bacterium. RNAcentral's name for it is "bacterial SSU rRNA". It matches the Rfam family "Bacterial small subunit ribosomal RNA", at positions 55 to 650 of the family's 1533-position model. The record is from RNAcentral.